AAACCAACAGGGAUUGCCCCAGUAACGGCGAGUGAAGCGGCAAGAGCUCAAAUUUGAAAUCUGGCCUCCCCCGGGGGCCCGAGUUGUAAUUUGCAGAGGAUGCUUCGGGUGCGGCCACCGUAUAAGUUCCUUGGAACAGGACGUCAGAGAGGGUGAGAAUCCCGUCUUGGGCGGGCGGUCCGCGCCCGUGUGAAGCUCCUUCGACGAGUCGAGUUGUUUGGGAAUGCAGCUCUAAGCGGGUGGUAAAUUUCAUCUAAAGCUAAAUAUUGGCCGGAGACCGAUAGCGCACAAGUAGAGUGAUCGAAAGGUUAAAAGCACCUUGAAAAGGGAGUUAAACAGCACGUGAAAUUGUUGAAAGGGAAGCGCUUGCGGCCAGACUCGGGGGCGGGGUUCAGCGGGUGCUCGUCGCCCGUGUAUUCCUCGUCUCCCGGGCCAGCAUCAGUUUCGACGGCCGGUCAAAGGCCCCCGGAAUGUGUCGUCUCUCGGGACGUCUUAUAGCCGGGGGUGCAAUGCGGCCCGUCGGGACUGAGGAACGCGCUCCGGCUCGGAUGCUGGCGUAAUGGCCGUAAGCGGC
Molecule: ribosomal RNA, 574 nt
Filed under: Trichophyton mentagrophytes
Lineage: Eukaryota; Fungi; Ascomycota; Eurotiomycetes; Onygenales; Arthrodermataceae
Description: eukaryotic LSU rRNA
Rfam family: Eukaryotic large subunit ribosomal RNA
Source: RNAcentral